UACAGAGGUCUCAAGCGUUGUUCGGAUUCAUUGGGCGUAAAGGGUGCGUAGGUGGCCAACUAAGUCAGACGUGAAAUCCCUCGGCUUAACCGGGGAACUGCGUCUGAUACUGGAUGGCUUGAGUUCGGGAGAGGGAUGCGGAAUUCCAGGUGUAGCGGUGAAAUGCGUAGAUAUCUGGAGGAACACCGGUGGCGAAGGCGGCAUCCUGGACCGAUACUGACGCUGAGGAGCGAAAGCCAGGGGAGCAAACGGG
Molecule: ribosomal RNA, 253 nt
Filed under: uncultured bacterium
Lineage: Bacteria
Description: partial 16S ribosomal RNA
Rfam family: Bacterial small subunit ribosomal RNA
Source: RNAcentral